RNAcentral lists this transfer RNA (83 nucleotides) under Candidatus Magasanikiibacteriota bacterium. RNAcentral's name for it is "Candidatus Magasanikbacteria bacterium tRNA-Leu". It matches the Rfam family "tRNA". Rfam says of the family: Transfer RNA (tRNA) molecules are approximately 80 nucleotides in length. Their secondary structure includes four short double-helical elements and three loops (D, anti-codon, and T loops). The record is from RNAcentral. Lineage: Bacteria; Candidatus Magasanikiibacteriota.
GCUCAGGUGGCGGAAUGGUAGACGCGCUAGCUUGAGGGGCUAGUAGGGGCAACCCUGUGGAGGUUCAAAUCCUCUUCUGAGCA